AGUGUCAAGGGAUGGGAAUCAGAACCCACGACCUUCCGCUUACCGGGCAGAUGCCAUGACCACUAGGCCACAUGACC
RNAcentral lists this transfer RNA (77 nucleotides) under Cordylochernes scorpioides. Its description in RNAcentral is "tRNA-Thr". The record is from RNAcentral. Lineage: Eukaryota; Metazoa; Arthropoda; Arachnida; Pseudoscorpiones; Chernetidae.